AUAAGAUUGUAGUACCGCAUGGUACAGCAAUUAAAGGAGUAAUCCGCUAUGAGAUGGACCCGCGUCGCAUUAGCUAGUUGGUGAGGUAACGGCUCACCAAGGCGACGAUGCGUAGCCGACCUGAGAGGGUGAUCGGCCACAUUGGGACUGAGACACGGCCCAGACUCCUACGGGAGGCAGCAGUGGGGAAUAUUGCACAAUGGGGGAAACCCUGAUGCAGCAACGCCGCGUGAGUGAUGACGGUCUUCGGAUUGUAAAGCUCUGUCUUUAGGGACGAUAAUGACGGUACCUAAGGAGGAAGCCACGGCUAACUACGUGCCAGCAGCCGCGGUAAUACGUAGGUGGCAAGCGUUGUCCGGAUUUACUGGGCGUAAAGGGAGCGUAGGUGGAUAUUUAAGUGGGAUGUGAAAUACCCGGGCUUAACCUGGGUGCUGCAUUCCAAACUGGAUAUCUAGAGUGCAGGAGAGGAAAGGAGAUCUAGAGGCAAUUCCUAGUGUAGCGGUGAAAUGCGA
This 512-nucleotide ribosomal RNA is filed under the name Clostridium sp. FSAA-14. RNAcentral describes it as "bacterial SSU rRNA". It matches the Rfam family "Bacterial small subunit ribosomal RNA", at positions 173 to 691 of the family's 1533-position model. The record is from RNAcentral. Lineage: Bacteria; Bacillati; Bacillota; Clostridia; Eubacteriales; Clostridiaceae.